GACGAACGCUGGCGGCGUGCCUAAUACAUGCAAGUAGAACGCUGAAGGAGGAGCUUGCUUCUCUGGAUGAGUUGCGAACGGGUGAGUAACGCGUAGGUAACCUGCCUGGUAGCGGGGGAUAACUAUUGGAAACGAUAGCUAAUACCGCAUAAUAGCAGUUGUUGCAUGACAACUGUUUGAAAGGUGCAAUUGCACCACUACCAGAUGGACCUGCGUUGUAUUAGCUAGUUGGUGGGGUAACGGCUCACCAAGGCGACGAUACAUAGCCGACCUGAGAGGGUGAUCGGCCACACUGGGACUGAGACACGGCCCAGACUCCUACGGGAGGCAGCAGUAGGGGAUCUUCGGCAAUGGACGGAAGUCUGACCGAGCAACGCCGCGUGAGUGAAGAAGGUUUUCGGAUCGUAAAGCUCUGUUGUAAGAGAAGAACGAGUGUGAGAGUGGAAAGUUCACACUGUGACGGUAUCUUACCAGAAAGGGACGGCUAACUACGUG
Molecule: ribosomal RNA, 495 nt
Filed under: uncultured bacterium
Lineage: Bacteria
Description: partial 16S ribosomal RNA
Rfam family: Bacterial small subunit ribosomal RNA
Source: RNAcentral